UUAGCAAGGAUGGGGGGUGACGGGAUAUCUGGGCGACGAUCCCUAGCUGGUCUGAGAGGAUGACCAGCCACACUGGAACUGAGACACGGUCCAGACUCCUACGGGAGGCAGCAGUGGGGAAUAUUGCACAAUGGGCGCAAGCCUGAUGCAGCCAUGCCGCGUGUAUGAAGAAGGCCUUCGGGUUGUAAAGUACUUUCAGCGGGGAGGAAGGGAGUAAAGUUAAUACCUUUGCUCAUUGACGUUACCCGCAGAAGAAGCACCGGCUAACUCCGUGCCAGCAGCCGCGGUAAUACGGAGGGUGCAAGCGUUAAUCGGAAUUACUGGGCGUAAAGCGCACGCAGGCGGUUUGUUAAGUCAGAUGUGAAAUCCCCGGGCUCAACCUGGGAACUGCAUCUGAUACUGGCAAGCUUGAGUCUCGUAGAGGGGGGUAGAAUUCCAGGUGUAGCGGUGAAAUGCGUAGAGAUCUGGAGGAAUA
Molecule: ribosomal RNA, 475 nt
Filed under: Shigella sonnei
Lineage: Bacteria; Pseudomonadati; Pseudomonadota; Gammaproteobacteria; Enterobacterales; Enterobacteriaceae
Description: bacterial SSU rRNA
Rfam family: Bacterial small subunit ribosomal RNA
Source: RNAcentral